RNAcentral lists this long non-coding RNA (1242 nucleotides) under Marmota monax (woodchuck). The record is from RNAcentral. Lineage: Eukaryota; Metazoa; Chordata; Mammalia; Rodentia; Sciuridae.
UGAGGCGAUCAAUCUUAGCCCCCUGACAGCUCCCUCCGAUUGCAUCAAAGAAUUUGUCUCUUUGGGAAAGCAGAGGGAACAGCCGAAAUUCCACAUCCCUUAAAAAGGCCUGAGGGGAGGGGGUGGCAAUAGAGAAAGGUGAUUCUGGGAGAGCCAGGAAACAGAUGGGAAAUGGGGACAGAGGGAAGGCGCUGAGUUGGGUGGAAAGUUUGCCUGGAGAACUCCCACGACUCUGGCCUCCCCUCCCCCUACUGGUUCACUGCAACCCAGCCCUAAGGAGAAGGCUGGUUAGCAGAGAAAUGGCAACUCAGCUGGGAGCUGGAGCUAGAAACUUUGUCAAUGUAACAACCGCGUGGGAGGUGGUGAGUAUUUAAAAAGAAGGGCCCAGAAGUCUGAGUAGAAGGGUGGGGGUGGAGAAGAGAAGGUUGGAAAGGGGGGAGCUGAAGGUGGGGGCUGCAGAGACAGACUGUAGAGCUCUGAGAACAUGGAGAGCUGCUCUGAACUAGGCCAACUGGGCAGAGAGGGUGGUGUGCAAUUCAGCACCAAAGAAAACCAUUUUGCCAUUUGGAGAUGUGGAUAAGGGUAGGCUGGGAAAAAUCCAAACAGUAGCUGUGCAGGAAGGCCUGAGAAAGGAUUCACUCUCUGGUCAGCCCCUUGGGCAUCACUGCAGGUUUUCUAACAGCCCCUCUAGCUGGCUGCAGGACUCAGGGCUUCCCUAGGCAACCCAGGCCAAGACUGUCCCUGAGCAGGAAAUACAACUCUCUAACCCUCGAUGACAGAUUUUAUGGCCAGAUUAGUGAACAACGGAAAACUUGGGUGUUAAAAGGGGCCAAGAGAGCCCUCCUUCUGGGAGACAUCCCUCCCCCACUCCCCUGCAUGCUGAAUGGUAAAGCAAAGAUAUUUUACCCAUGUCUUUGACUGUUUUAGCUGAGCCACCGGAAUCUUGAAAACAGAAGGAUAGGGGACGCUAAGCCAGGUCCUUCUUAUUUACCAUCCCAGCUUCAAACCAAAGCUCUGCUUUUUCAUACUCUAGUUAAAUUCUCUCUCGGCCUGCUUUUCUCUCUGGCUAGCAAAAUAAGCAAUCCACCCCACCCCCAGAGCCAAACAUGGCGUUUCAUCUAGUUACAUCAUUCAGAACAUGUUAUUCAGAGAAGAGGAAGACAGAGAGAAAGAAAGACCCUUGAGCGUUAUUUGAUCCCAAUCAAACUUUGCACGCUCUUCUGCCUUUAAAUUAUAGCCUGA